AGUACCCUGCUGUGUUCGUGAUAGCUGAGGGGGUUUUGAGCCGACACUCAAACCUGAUGGAGCCGGAUUCGUCCGCGGAGUGGCAGCUUCGAGCAAUCGAGGAAUCGCGUAAGCGUACGUGAAGGCAUCCGCCCGUUUUUCUACGGGUUCAAAAACCUGAUAGGCACACGGCACGGCGGGGUUCUU
RNAcentral lists this non-coding RNA (186 nucleotides) under Armatimonadota bacterium. RNAcentral describes it as "Armatimonadetes bacterium (wastewater metagenome) 6S RNA". It matches the Rfam family "6S / SsrS RNA". Rfam says of the family: E. coli 6S RNA was the first non coding RNA to be sequenced, but its function was unknown until recently. It consists of 184 nucleotides that fold into an extended hairpin structure with a large single-stranded internal bulge. Lineage: Bacteria; Bacillati; Armatimonadota. The record is from RNAcentral.